GUGGGGAAUCUUCCGCAAUGGACGAAAGUCUGACGGAGCGACGCCGCGUGAGUGAAGAAGGCCUUCGGGUCGUAAAGCUCUGUCAUCAGGGACGAACGGCCGGUGGAGUGGAAAGCCACCGGAUUGACGGUACCUGAGAAGGAAGCCACGGCUAACUACGUGCCAGCAGCCGCGGUAAUACGUAGGUGGCAAGCGUUGUCCGGAAUUAUUGGGCGUAAAGCGCGCGCAGGUGGGAUCUUAAGUCCAUGUUUAAAGUUCGGAGCUCAACUCCGUGAUGGGAUGGAAACUGGGAUUCUUGAGUACCGGAGAGGAAAGCGGAAUUCCCCGUGUAGCGGUGAAAUGCGUAGAUAUGGGGAGGAACACCAGUGGCGAAGGCGGCUUUCUGGCACAAUACUGACGCUCAUGUGCGAAAGCUAGGGCAGCGAACGGGAUUAGAAACCCUAGUAGUCC
Molecule: ribosomal RNA, 450 nt
Filed under: uncultured bacterium
Lineage: Bacteria
Description: partial 16S ribosomal RNA
Rfam family: Bacterial small subunit ribosomal RNA
Source: RNAcentral